ACAGAAAUAAAUCAGUUUGGUCCAUUGAUUCUGAUUUCAGCAAUCAAAAACUCAAAUCCAUUUCAUGAUUCAAUAAUCAACAAAAAUAAGCAACAACCCAACCAAAACAGAUGAACCAAUAAUCAAAAUUUCAAAUUUAUCUUAAGCAAAAAGCAACAACAGUAGGCAAAGAACCCAGACCAAAUCUCAGCCAUAAGCAGAUUCAGAAUCUCCAAAGACUGAAUCGCAUACCCAUGAACCCAAACCGAAUCAUAAAAGUAGAAUUUCAAAACCCAUAGGCAAUCCCAGAAUCGUAGAACCCAGAUGGCGAUUUGUGAGGCGUGAAAGAUGAGUGACUCGCUUACCCAUGAGUAUGUCUCAAAGCUCUAAAACGAAGAGUUGUGGUUGCUUGCGAGUUCAUCCGGGCGUCGUCAUGUCUGUGAGCCGACGACGAAAAAUGGAUUUGGGAGGGGAAAUUUUGAAAAUGAAGAAUUGAUGGCUGAGGCUUGAGAAGGAUUUGGGAGGAAAGUUGAGAAGUGAAGGGAAUAAAUGAAGAAGUGAAGAAGAAAAGGCAGUCUUUGAGGGUUUGAGGAAAGAACAAGGAAGAAGGGAGAAGAAAUUGAAGGUGUGAGAUGAAGGGAAAACGAAGGGUUUUAUAACUUCUAGUUGGGUUUUCCUGCAUGUACAUGCUCAUUUGCUAAACCAGUGGAGAUCAAUACUAGUCGUAAGUCGUCUUUGAUAUGGCCGUCAGAAGGAUAAAAAUUAAGAGGAAGGCGAAAAAUUCGUGGAAAGUCAUAUUAAACUUUGUGUUUUCAUACUAAAUUGAUACUUCCAAAUACAUUUCCAUCCAUGGUUUCCUAGAAUUUAAAAAUUUUUCAAUUAGUUCAUUGACUUGAAUCAUUGUUACAUUCCACAAAGCGUAG
This 902-nucleotide unclassified non-coding RNA is filed under the name Hevea brasiliensis (rubber tree). The record is from RNAcentral. Lineage: Eukaryota; Viridiplantae; Streptophyta; Magnoliopsida; Malpighiales; Euphorbiaceae.